UACAGAGGUCUCAAGCGUUGUUCGGAUUCAUUGGGCGUAAAGGGUGCUUAGGUGGUUGGGUAAGUCAAAUGUGAAAUCCCGGAGCUCAACUCCGGAACUGCAUUCGAUACUGCCCGGCUCGAGGAUUGGAGAGGAGACUGGAAUUCACGGUGUAGCAGUGAAAUGCGCAGAGAUCGUGAGGAACACCCGUGGCGAAGGCGGGUCUCGGGACAAUUCAUGACACUGAGGCACGAAGGCCAGGGGAGCAAACGGG
Molecule: ribosomal RNA, 253 nt
Filed under: uncultured bacterium
Lineage: Bacteria
Description: partial 16S ribosomal RNA
Rfam family: Bacterial small subunit ribosomal RNA
Source: RNAcentral